UUAUAUUUCAAAAUUUUUGAUUUCGUUUACAUCAUGGCUACGAGUGGGAAGAAGUGCGUUUUUAACUGUAGCAUGAUCAGUGAAAAAAUAAUAAUUUUCGAAGAAGACAAAUUAAAAAAGUGCCAACAUAUUUCCAAAGUUCGUGUCGCUUUUGAUUUGAAAUACAGUGAUAUUGUGUUACCAGAAAUAGUAGACGGUGUCAGUCGUUAUCAUCGACUUUGCUAUAAAGCAUUUACAUCCAUCCAAAAUAAAUAUUUGGAUAAAUAUAACGGUAAGUUUGCAAUAUUCCUUGAAAGUUGUUAUUAUAUUAAAUUUAAUUACGCCUCGGUAUAAAUAAUCGAACUAUUAUCAAUUUGUACAGAGAGCAAUCAAUUGGAAGUAGCAAAAUCCUCACAAGGUCACACGUCCAUUGAGGCAUCUGCGUCUCCGCAGGCCGAACAUUCGGCAGGUAAUAAUAUAUUUUACAUACAUUAUGUUGUGUACGUUUAUAUUUAAACGCGAAAUAAAUUAUCGGACGAUUUAUUAAUUUUUACAGUGAGUAAUCAAUCCAUAGGAGAUGAUUUUCCGCAAGGUUCCACAUCUAUUAUUUCACAAUGCGACAAUUCAGCUGAAGAAAAUGACGAUAACGUUCGGUCGUCUGAUAUAUUCAGUGGCAGUCAACUUUCACAUGAACAAUUAGAUGUGGAACGACAACCUGAAAAUUCAAAAUUGAAGAAUGCAGGUAUCUGUUUGUUUUGUAAUCAAGCAAGGAAGAAGCAAGGGCAAAAAGCGCUUCUUUUGAUACGAUCUGAAAGUGAAAUUUUAAUUGAAAAAAUUGUCACAAAUGCAACUGCCUUAAAUGACAAUGAAACAUUAUCGUAAAUCGACAGAUUGGGGGAUAAUCGUGUUGUUUAUUACCAUAAUACAUGUAAAUUGAUGUAUUUUAAAAAACACAUUGCGGCUCCGGAGCCAAAACAGUCAGAUUGGCAUAUUGCAAGAAACGUUCAUGAGUUAGUUGACAAUGAACUGUAUUCUUUCAUCGCUGAAAAUACAAUAGGAAAGAAGCAAUGCUAUUCUUUAAAAUUUUUAGUACAGUAUGCCAAAAGUGCGUUGUAUAAAUUGUUUUCGGAGAAAUAUGAUAGUUUCGGACCUUUAAUAACGAGUACGAAAUUGCUUCAAAAGAUUGAAAAAAAAAUUGCCAAGCAGUUACAAAUAAUUGAAUUGCAUGACCGGAAAAUUUUUGAUAGAUAUUGGUCACCAUCUAUCAAAGAUUACGAAAGAUCUCAGCGAAGCGGUUCCUCUGGUAAUUUUCUGGACCUGAACAAUCAAGACCAUCAGACUUCAAUAAAGAACUCCGAAAUAGCUUUUUCAAAGAAGCACUCGUGAAAUUUUUAAUCGUCAAUUGGCAAAAUCACGAAUUAAUUCCAUUCUUUCACAAUAAAAAAGUGCUACUCAAUUUUGAUAACUGUUAUCAAUAUGAAGCUGUGAAUGAACGCAUAUUAUUUUCAAAAAAUGAUAAGUAUACUCUCGAUUUGCAUGAAGAAGCGGAUUCAAAAAUAGUAUAUCAUGCGUGCAAUAUCGAGUCAACAGCGAACAUUCUAAUAAAAUGCUCAGAUACGGAUAUCUUAAUUAUUAUGUUGGCUAAUAUGAUUCACGUACAACACAAUAGCAAAGUUUAUAUUCAAACAGGGGUUUGGAAUAAGCAACGAAUAAUUGACGUAUCGGCGUUGCAUGAAAAGUUAGGAGAGAGAAUGUGUCAAUCUCUGCCAGGAUUUCAUGCUCUAACUGGCUGCGAUUUUAAUCCCGCAUUAUUUCGUAAGGGAAAGCAACGUCCUUUACAGAUCUUAAAGAAAAAUGAAGACUUACAAAAAGCAUUCGGCCAAAUUGGACAUGAAGACUGUGAUGAAACCGCUGUUUUCCCGAUUCUUGAAAAGUUCAUCUGUAAUUUGUACAACUUUCCGUUGUUGAGCUCCGUAAAUGAUGCGCGAUUCGCCUUAUUUUUAAAAGCCUAUAAGGUCAAUGAUUUGGAGGAACCUUUCCAGAAAAAAAAAUUGCAGAAUUUUGACUCAUCCACUUUACCUCCUACCCAGGCUGAAUUAACGCAGCAUUUAUUGAGAACCAAAUAUAUUGCUACAAUAUGGAAAAAUGCUCAUAAGAAAAUUCCAUCAUAUUUACGACCAGAAACUUGCGGAUGGAUAUUAGUAGAGGGAAAUUAUACAUUUAAAUGGUUCGACGGACCGCAGCUGCCUAGUACAAUACAAGAUAUUAUUGAUACUGGAACAAACGAAGGCGAUGAAGACCCUAAUGCAGAAAGUGAAUCAAAUGAAGAAGAAUAUAUCGAUAGCGAAGGAGAUAUCACGUCCGAAUCAGAUUCCGAUUGCGAAUGUGACUGAAAAUGUUGAUGUGCAGCGCACUUUUUAACCUCGUCUGCCGCGGCUUUAGCCCUCAUUUUUUUGUCUGCCAUUUUGUAAAUGACUUUUGGAAUGUUUAAACUUUAAAAUACAAUAAUUGGA
This is an RNA transcript of Anthonomus grandis grandis, 2492 nucleotides long. RefSeq lists it as uncharacterized. The record is from RefSeq and is a predicted model, not a curated record. Lineage: Eukaryota; Metazoa; Arthropoda; Insecta; Coleoptera; Curculionidae. The transcript is spliced from 3 exons.